This 497-nucleotide ribosomal RNA is filed under the name uncultured bacterium. Its description in RNAcentral is "partial 16S ribosomal RNA". It matches the Rfam family "Bacterial small subunit ribosomal RNA", at positions 28 to 507 of the family's 1533-position model. The record is from RNAcentral.
GACGAACGCUGGCGGCGUGCCUAAUACAUGCAAGUAGAACGCUGAAGAGAGGAGCUUGCUCUUCUUGGAUGAGUUGCGAACGGGUGAGUAACGCGUAGGUAACCUGCCUUGUAGCGGGGGAUAACUAUUGGAAACGAUAGCUAAUACCGCAUAACAAUGGAUGACACAUGUCAUUUAUUUGAAAGGGGCAAUUGCUCCACUACAAGAUGGACCUGCGUUGUAUUAGCUAGUAGGUGAGGUAAUGGCUCACCUAGGCGACGAUACAUAGCCGACCUGAGAGGGUGAUCGGCCACACUGGGACUGAGACACGGCCCAAACUCCUACGGGAGGCAGCAGUAGGGAAUCUUCGGCAAUGGGGGCAACCCUGACCGAGCAACGCCGCGUGAGGGAAGAAGGUUUUCGGAUCGUAAAGCUCUGUUGUAAGUCAAGAACGGGUGUGAGAGUGGAAAGUUCACACUGUGACGGUAGCUUACCAGAAAGGGACGGCUAACUACGUG